CGGGGGCCGCAGCCGCGGGGGCCGAGGGUCCAGUCCAGGCUCCGGCGGCCGCGGGCCAGGCGGCGUCGGGUGCCCGGGCUGCACUCCGCGGCCUCCGGCUAUGCCCCUCGGAGCCAAAACUUGCGAUUCUAGAAAGGCCGAAGGGUCGGCAGCCGGAAGACCGAGUUCUUGAGAAUUCGCAGAGCGCCCUUGGACCGGUUCCCUCCCUGGAGGGUCGGGUCGGGGAGGCUCCCGCACCAGGGUGUUCAGUGGCUACUAAGGGAAUGAAUGAGGCCUUGGAAGCCCCUACAUUAAAAUAUUACAAACUUGCAAGAGGUUUCAGGAGUUUACUGCCCCAUAGAAAAGAGGGCGUUGAGGGUGUGCGAGCUGAGUGGCCUGGGCACGCCCAUAUUUGCCGUCAGGCUAAGUGGCUUCCGGGGCGGGGGUGGGACCCGUGCUUAGACACAUUCCAACGUUGGUUGCUUGGUUCAUUCAUUCAUUCGUUCAUUCAUACAGUACUAGAAAGGUUCAAGGGCAGGCCCUACACCGGGAGCUGGAGGUAGAGGGCAGGAAACUGCCCUCGCUGCAUUCAACGAUUCAGCAGAUCCUUGCUGAGCAUCUGCCAGGUGCCGGAUGCUGUCCUUGUCGCUGAGGAUUCAGCCCCUCUGGACUGAGACCUACAGUCCAAGGAAGGGACGGAGGAGGAAGCCCAAGUCACCAAGGAGAUUAUCCUGAAUUAGCUGGGCAGGCCCAGUGUAAUAACAAGGUCCUUAAAAGUGGACGAGGGAGACAGAAGAGGAAGUCAGAGAAAGAGAUGUGACAAUGGAAGAUGGGCCCGAGACAUGCUGUGUUGCAGCCUUCGAGAUGGAGGAAGGGGCCACAAACAGAGGAAUGCGGGCGGCCUCUAGAAGCUGGAAGAGACAAGGAAACAGAUUCCCCCAGAACCUCCAGAAGGAACUAGUCCUGCUGACACCUCGAUUUUGGCCCGUGAGACCCAUGGUGGACUUCUGACCUACAGAACUGUGACACUGUGUUUCUGACUGCUCCAUAUCAGUCCACAGAGUGUGUCCUCGGUUCACUUUUUACAGCUGCGUAGUGUUCCAGUGUGUCAUGAUCGACGUAAGUGGGUCUCAGCUGAUGGAUGUUUAGGAUGUCCCCACCCCUUUCCUGUGACAAGCAGCAUAGCAAUGUGUCACUUUGUGCAAGUGCUGCUGCACGCAUGUCUGCGGGCGGCUGUGGAAUAAAUCCCUAGGCAUUUGGGAGUCAAAGGACGCACACAGUUGUCGUUUAGUCAGCUCUGUCCGCUCGUCCUUCUCAGGGGAUGUGCCAGGUGCCAGGUACCAAGCCCCCCGCACGGACCACAGGGCCCAUUUCUCCUCAGCCUCACUGGCCCCUGGUUCUUGAACUUUCUGAUCGUCGUCAGUCUGAAAGGUAAACACCGCACGAGGCAGAGGGGCCUCGGCGUAUCUUAGUCUGCAUUUCUCUUCGGACGAGUGAGUUUGGCCAUCUUUUCUAAGUUUCAGGGUCUUUCGUAUUUCCUUUCCCGUGAACUGACUGCAGCGUUACGCUUAGGAAGGUCUCUUUAGAGAGGGGACCCUGGAGGGAGACCUGACUGGAGGCAGGGGCCACUCUGGGGACAGUUGGUUCAGGAGGGAGACAGAACUGGCCCUGAUCUGUGGUGUAAAAGCCGGAGUUGGAGGCAAUGAGGUCACAAGAUUGGAAUUUGGUGACAGAUCUGCCAUGGGGGCCACAGUGGGACAGAAGGGGGGUCAGG
Equus caballus (horse) is the source of this 1753-nucleotide long non-coding RNA. RefSeq lists it as uncharacterized. The record is from RefSeq and is a predicted model, not a curated record. NCBI's taxonomy places the organism in Eukaryota, Metazoa, Chordata, Mammalia, Perissodactyla, Equidae.